CCUACGGGUGGCAGCAGUGGGGAAUAUUGGACAAUGGGCGAAAGCCUGAUCCAGCCAUGCCGCGUGUGUGAAGAAGGCCUUCGGGUUGUAAAGCACUUUCAGUGGGGAAGAAAGCCUUGGGGCUAAUACCCUCGAGGAAGGACAUCACCCACAGAAGAAGCACCGGCUAACUCCGUGCCAGCAGCCGCGGUAAUACGGAGGGUGCGAGCGUUAAUCGGAAUUACUGGGCGUAAAGCGCGCGUAGGCGGUCUGAUAAGCCGGUUGUGAAAGCCCCGGGCUCAACCUGGGAACGGCAUCCGGAACUGGCAGGCUAGAGUGCAGGAGAGGGAGGUAGAAUUCCAGGUGUAGCGGUGAAAUGCGUAGAGAUCUGGAGGAAUACCAGUGGCGAAGGCGGCCUUCUGGACUAACACUGACGCUGAGGUGCGAAAGCGUGGGUAGCAAACAGGAUUAGAUACCCUGGUAGUC
Molecule: ribosomal RNA, 465 nt
Filed under: Vreelandella stevensii
Lineage: Bacteria; Pseudomonadati; Pseudomonadota; Gammaproteobacteria; Oceanospirillales; Halomonadaceae
Description: partial 16S ribosomal RNA
Rfam family: Bacterial small subunit ribosomal RNA
Source: RNAcentral